CACGCCAGUCUCUGCGACUCCUUAGCACUGCUGCAGCAGAAAGUGGAAAUGUGGAAAGGCACGUCCUGGUCGCUCCUCAGGGAGCCCCUUAGCACCGCAGGGCCAAGGCCAGGCCAGCCUUGCAAGGGGGUUGUCCUGGAGGCACAGCCUACUUUCCCUGUCCCCAAGCUUCGAAAUGUCUUUAUUGGGGUAUAUUCCGGAAGGAGGGGUCCUCAGCAGGCAGGAGAGCUGAUGAGGGGCAGAAUGCACCCUUGCUCAGGCCCUCCCCUGAGCGCAGGCCGG
RNAcentral lists this long non-coding RNA (282 nucleotides) under Homo sapiens (human). RNAcentral describes it as "HSALNT0245943". Lineage: Eukaryota; Metazoa; Chordata; Mammalia; Primates; Hominidae. The record is from RNAcentral.